This 818-nucleotide ribosomal RNA is filed under the name Clostridioides difficile. RNAcentral describes it as "partial 23S ribosomal RNA". It matches the Rfam family "Bacterial large subunit ribosomal RNA", at positions 1887 to 2703 of the family's 2925-position model. The record is from RNAcentral. Lineage: Bacteria; Bacillati; Bacillota; Clostridia; Peptostreptococcales; Peptostreptococcaceae.
CUGUUAGAGCAAUCGAAGCAGUGAACUUAAGCCCCAGUAAACGGCGGCCGUAACUAUAACGGUCCUAAGGUAGCGAAAUUCCUUGUCGGGUAAGUUCCGACCCGCACGAAAGGCGUAACGAUUUGGGCACUGUCUCAACAACAGACUCGGUGAAAUUGUAAUUCCGGUGAAGAUGCCGGAUACCUGCGACAGGACGGAAAGACCCCAUGGAGCUUUACUGUAGCUUGACAUUGGGUCUUGGUACUACAUGUACAGGAUAGGUGGGAGGCUUUGAAACCAGGACGCCAGUUUUGGCGGAGCCAUCCUUGGGAUACCACCCUUGUAGUACUGGGACUCUAACCAUAGGCCAUGAAUCUGGUCUUGGGACACUGUCAGGUGGGCAGUUUGACUGGGGCGGUCGCCUCCCAAAAGGUAACGGAGGCGCUCAAAGGUUCUCUCAGUACGGUCGGAAAUCGUACGUAGAGUGUAAAGGCAAAAGAGAGCUUGAUUGCAAGACAUACAGGUCGAGCAAGGAUGAAAAUCGGACUUAGUGAUCCGGUGGUUCUGCGUGGAAGGGCCAUCGCUCAACGGAUAAAAGCUACCCUGGGGAUAACAGGCUUAUCUCCCCCAAGAGUCCACAUCGACGGGGAGGUUUGGCACCUCGAUGUCGGCUCAUCACAUCCUGGGGCUGUAGUAGGUCCCAAGGGUUGGGCUGUUCGCCCAUUAAAGUGGUACGCGAGCUGGGUUCAGAACGUCGUGAGACAGUUCGGUCCCUAUCCGUCGCAGGCGUAGGAAAUUUGAGAAGACCUGUCCUUAGUACGAGAGGACCGGGAUGGACG